UGUGAACCAUCUUGUUGCUUCGGGGGGACCCUGCCGCUUCGUCGGAGCGGCGCCUCGGAGUUAUCAAACACUGCAUCAUUGCGUCGGAGUCAAAGUAAAUGAAACAAAACUUUCAACAACGGAUCUCUUGGUUCCAGCAUCGAUGAAGAACGCAGCGAAAUGCGAUAAGUAAUGUGAAUUGCAGAAUUCAGUGAAUCAUCGAAUCUUUGAACGCACAUUGCGCCCUCUGGUAUUCCGGGGGGCAUGCCUGUUCGAGCGUCAUUUCACCACUCAAGCCUGGCUUGGUAUUGGGCGUCGCGGCACCGCGCGCCUUAAAGUCUUCCGGCUGAGCUGUCCGUCUCUAAGCGUUGUGGCAACUAUUCGCUUCGGAGGCCGGAUGGCCGCGGCCGUUAAAUCUUUCACAAGGUUGACCUCGGAUUA
RNAcentral lists this small RNA (420 nucleotides) under Pseudocercospora sp. 6 MS-2015. RNAcentral's name for it is "eukaryotic LSU rRNA". The stretch from base 108 to 261 matches the Rfam family "5.8S ribosomal RNA". The record is from RNAcentral. Lineage: Eukaryota; Fungi; Ascomycota; Dothideomycetes; Mycosphaerellales; Mycosphaerellaceae.